ACAGAAGCAGGAAACAUCAAAAAUCACUGUUAACCGUAGAGCAUCGGUUUACAAUUCUUGCAAAAAUCAAGUUAUGAUUUAUGUGUAUGUUGUUAUAAAAACAAUCAAACAGACAUAAAUGUAAUCUGUUAAACUCAGUCUAUUUUGCAUUCAAACAUUGCUUUAAAUAAAGAGACAGGUGAUUUAUUUGAGCAGAGCUUGUUUUCUGCCUCCACUAUUUGGAAAGUCUAAUACGAAAAUACUAAUAAAUAUAUAUAUACUAUUUUAUAUUAAACAAAACAACUGCUGCAAUCUCCUUAUGAUUUAUUGUGCCUUAAUUUACUAUUAAUUUCAUUCAUAAUUAUUCACUUACUGAACGCUAUUAUAAAAGUAUAUACGUUUGUUUAUGUUAAAUAAAAGAUAAACAUGAGAAAAGAGUCGUAUCUUCCCUUAAAAUGCAUCUUGAACAAUCGGGUCCCACCUAGCGAGGACCCCUAAGAUGGCGGCCAUCGCGAUGCCUGUGCGCAAGUCGCAACGGAUGCACUUGUCACGAAGGACACAAGACAGAAGCUCUGUCCCGAGACGCUCUCGAGUUACGUUGAGACUGAGGAUUCCCCAAUCUUCCACAAUGGACUUCACAUAGGAUGAACUGUUUCCAGUUUCAGCAAAACAGCAAGAAUUUAUGAAUGGAUGACUGCACCUUAGCACUCUUCACUCCCACUGCAUGCCUCACCUGGGCCACAGAGAAAACAAUGUUGCUGCCUGUACAUGGCACAUUUAACCUCUAACCUUACAGCUGAAUGUUCAGACUGAAUAUACAGAGGAGAACUGGUCCCCAGUGUUUUUGGUUAGUCUGGUUUCUCCAAAGGUUUUUUUUACUCCAGUAUCGACAUCUUACAGUUUUUUCUUAAUUAACCCCUGUUGCCUUUGGCUUGCUUGCUGUAUGUAUGACGACUAAUGCAUUUAACACCAACUAUUAAAACAGUGAGGGUGUUUUUGACCACAUAGACACAAUAGUAUGUCUUUCUGUAAAAAUUAUUUGAAAAUGUUAUGCAUUUUGAAAAAUGUAUAAAUGUCUUACAUAGAUAGUGUGCAUAUUGCUUGAACAUUUAUAUGUAAAAACAAAAACAGAAUCAUUAUAUUAUAAUUGCAAAUUAUAAUUAUAUAGCAAUUAUUGCUAUCUAUAUAAACUAUCUAGCUGUAUUUUUAGUUACUUUCAGUGCACAAACAACCAUUAUUCACUUACUAUACUUAAUGGUAGAAAUAUAAUAGGCAUACUGACAUACUUCAUGUAAAAUUAAUAUAACAUUCAUUUUACAUAAAAUAAUAAUAUAUCUGUAUAUAAUACAACAAUAACACGGUUCUGCACAAGCAAUUGCGAUAUUAUAUCAUUUAGAUUAACAAUAUAAAUUUACACACACACAUCGAGUAGCUGUAUGCUAUGCUGAUACGCGAGUAACAAAAAAAAAAAAAAAAA
This is a long non-coding RNA of Carassius auratus (goldfish), 1456 nucleotides long. RefSeq lists it as uncharacterized. Lineage: Eukaryota; Metazoa; Chordata; Actinopteri; Cypriniformes; Cyprinidae. The transcript has 2 exons. The record is from RefSeq and is a predicted model, not a curated record.